Molecule: transfer RNA, 72 nt
Filed under: Fukomys damarensis (Damara mole-rat)
Lineage: Eukaryota; Metazoa; Chordata; Mammalia; Rodentia; Bathyergidae
Rfam family: tRNA
About the family: Transfer RNA (tRNA) molecules are approximately 80 nucleotides in length. Their secondary structure includes four short double-helical elements and three loops (D, anti-codon, and T loops). Further hydrogen bonds mediate the characteristic L-shaped molecular structure. tRNAs have two regions of fundamental functional importance: the anti-codon, which is responsible for specific mRNA codon recognition, and the 3' end, to which the tRNAs corresponding amino acid is attached (by aminoacyl-tRNA synthetases). tRNAs cope with the degeneracy of the genetic code in two manners: having more than one tRNA (with a specific anti-codon) for a particular amino acid; and 'wobble' base-pairing, i.e. permitting non-standard base-pairing at the 3rd anti-codon position.
Source: Rfam by way of RNAcentral
GCGUUUGUAGCUCGGUGGCAGAGCAUGUGCUUGGCAUGCACAGGGCCCUGGGUUCAAUCCCUAGCACCCUCC